UAGAGUUUGAUCAUGGCUCAGAUUGAACGCUGGCGGCAUGCUUUACACAUGCAAGUCGAACGGUAACAGGUCUUCGGAUGCUGACGAGUGGCGAACGGGUGAGUAAAACAUCGGAACGUGCCUGGUAGUGGGGGACAACUGCUCGAAAGAGCAGCUAAUACCGCAUGACAUCCAAGGAUAAAAGCAGGGGACCUUCGGGCCUUGUGCUACCAGAGCGGCCGAUGGCAGAUUAGGUAGUUGGUGAGGUAAAGGCUCACCAAGCCUGCGAUCUGUAGCUGGUCUGAGAGGACGACCAGCCACACUGGGACUGAGACACGGCCCAGACUCCUACGGGAGGCAGCAGUGGGGAAUUUUGGACAAUGGGCGCAAGCCUGAUCCAGCAAUGCCGCGUGCAGGACGAAGGCCUUCGGGUUGUAAACUGCUUUUGUACAGAACGAAAAGGACUGGGUUAAUACCCUGGUCAUAUGACGGUACUGUAAGAAUAAGCACCGGCUAACUACGUGCCAGCAGCCGCGGUAAU
Molecule: ribosomal RNA, 520 nt
Filed under: uncultured Lampropedia sp.
Lineage: Bacteria; Pseudomonadati; Pseudomonadota; Betaproteobacteria; Burkholderiales; Comamonadaceae
Description: bacterial SSU rRNA
Rfam family: Bacterial small subunit ribosomal RNA
Source: RNAcentral